Molecule: ribosomal RNA, 253 nt
Filed under: uncultured bacterium
Lineage: Bacteria
Description: partial 16S ribosomal RNA
Rfam family: Bacterial small subunit ribosomal RNA
Source: RNAcentral
UACGGAGGUUGCAAGCGUUGUUCGGAAUGACUGGGCGUAAAGGGAGCGCAGGCGGCCUUUUAAGUCCGGCGUGAAAGCCCGGGGCUCAACCCCGGCGGGUCGCCGGAUACUGGGAGGCUCGAGUACGGAAGAGGCGAGUGGAAUUCCGGGUGUAGCGGUGAAAUGCGUAGAUAUCCGGAGGAACACCGGUGGCGAAAGCGGCUCGCUGGUCCGAUACUGACGCUCAGGCUCGAAAGCGUGGGGAGCAAACGGG